Molecule: long non-coding RNA, 4293 nt
Organism: Gasterosteus aculeatus aculeatus (three-spined stickleback)
Lineage: Eukaryota; Metazoa; Chordata; Actinopteri; Perciformes; Gasterosteidae
Source: Ensembl
UGACAAUAAUUGCCAGUGUGUGUGAGUGGAGUGCAACUAUAAAACUAAAAGUACGACAGAAAAAGAGAGAAGAGGGAGACAAGAAGAGAGGAUACAAAGAGGAAAUGUGUAUGAAAAGACAAAAAAAAGGGUGCGAGACGGUCAGAAGGAAAGAUGGGCCGACGAAAAAUCCAUCGAUCAACAGACACGGCUGGCAUGUCCCGCUCAGGGUGAGACAAAUAGCAGCGUCUGUGUCACUAUCAUGUACGGUGUAUAUAUGGUGUGCCUAUCUUUGCCCGUCAUGCUCCCUGGCUUCCAAUGCAUGACAAUUAUCUUUCUCCAGACUGUGUGGACAAUAACAAAAAGCAAGGCUACUUCAGAUGACACAUUGUCCAGUGCUGUAGAACAAAAAUUGCUGUCAACAAGUGAUUUGUGCCAGCAGCACCUCUUGGGAUUUUGAGUGUUUUCACAUUGUAUGGGCAUUCGUCUUGCUUCUGCAUAUUAUAGCGUGGUCCCAUAACAUGACUGACAUUAUGAGCAAACAAUGUUGAUUUUGAGUCACACUUGCUAAACACUGAAUGGUGCACGGCGGUACGUGACAUCACCAAGAUGAGCCCACACCCUCCUCAAGCCAGCGAGAUAAAAGAAAAAGAAAAAUGUUCACACCUGUAAGUAAGAACAAUAACUAGAUGUUUCUGGUCUUUUAGUAACCCAUUGAUACUAGUUAGAAUGUGAUUGAUAAAAAAAGGUUUUCAGGGUCUCUAAAUUCUGCCACUGCUAACAUCAAUUUUAUUAUUUAUUGUCAAUGCAAAACCAAUUCGUCCUGCUCACGAAGCAGCUAUAAUAUAUAAAAUGUAGCAUGUCUAAAAAUGUUCAAUAACAAAUAAUAGGGUUGCUCAAAUUAUUGCCUUCACGUUGUCUAAUCUGGAUUCAUGGCUUCUGUCAGAAGCCUUUGUAUCCUUUCACAGGUCAUAAACUGGGAGUCCAGAGAGGUCAGAUGAACACUGAGGUCAAAAAUGAGAGUGGAACCACCCUUUUUGUUCAUCUUCAUAUGCACAAUGUUGCAGGAAGUGUUUUCUUGGAAGUCAUAUUUUGUAACCUAUUUGGUAGCUGUGCUGAAAAGCCUUCACAGCUGUAAAAUAAUUUGACUGCUUUGCAAUCACAAAAGCUCCAUAGGACACACAGCAGGAUAGGGGGAAAUUAGAUAUUGGAUUUUCCACAACAAUAAAAAACAGAAGAGCAUAAUAAAUGGAUUUGUUUUAUUUAAUGUGUUUUUCAGCCUCACUUCUGAUUUAAUAUUUUUCACGGUCAAACUUAGAGUACCCAUUUUUUCCUCUUGUUAACCAAAUACAAAUUUGAGAGGGUCAUUUAAGGAGCAACAUCAAUUUCAAUUACACAUUUUAAUUAUCUGCAAUUGGUUUCUCCUCCAUCUCAAAAACAAUAAAAUAAUAAAACAAGCUUCAUUAACUUCCUGACAUCAGCACAAACCCACACAGAUGUACACAUUUGAUUUAGACACUCUUUUUCAUGCAAAGACACAUCACAGGAGUGCAAUAAUAUUACACAUUCAUUUAAUUAUUAUAAAUAUUAAACAAUUCAAAGCAAUUUGUUAGCAAUCCUGAGAUGCUUACGCCAAUUAAACAACACAAUAUAAUUCAGAGGGUAUUUGAGGAAGAGCUAAACUUCCCAAACACCAAUAAAGAGUUGAAAUUACACUGAGACCUCAUUUUAAAGGAAUAGUCCAACAUUUUGGGAAAUAUGUUUGUUCACUGCUCUGAUUUGCCUGCAGCUCAUUUGUCCAAAGACUAGAAAAUGGGUUCUGAAUGAAACCAAAAUAAAAGUCUACACAUUGCUCCUUCUGUACUGAAAAAUAUUUAAACAUAACGUAUUUUUAGUUAAGAAAAUAGUUUGACAUUUGGGGAAAUACGUUAUUUGUGUUAGAUGAGUCCCCAAUGAGUUAGUUUGAGGCGAAGGCUAGGAACAGACGACGCCUGGUAUUGUCCAAAGAUAAGAAAACCACAAACUCUGAUAUGAGGGUGUUUUUGUUAAAUAUAUUUUUAAUCUCACAGUAUUCUAAAAAUCUUUUAAGCCAAUUCAAGCCAGCCAGCUACUUGCUGUCGGCAAAAAUGCAUAUUUCCUCCAAAAUUUCAAACUUUUAUUUUUAAAUUGAGGAUUCUGUAAAGUAUUGUGAGUAAGAGUAUUAGAAUUUUGAAGAGCAACACUGUCCACAUUAAGGGACACCAGCAUGUCUGAUUGUAUUGGUUAUAUUUUCCCUGUGCUAUAAUGAGUCAAAGUAAUAAAUAAUGCAGCCAAAUACAAGGCACACAUAUAAUUCAAAGGGCCAUGAAAUGAACGAGAACUGAACCAAAACACAGAUUUUUAACAACAUGUAGCUUUGAUGUAUUCUCUUGAAUAAUUUUUCAAUAUUUUUUCCUCAACUUAACCAUGAAAGCUAUUUUCUUUUUGCACCACAGAGUUGAGAUUUUUUGUUUAAAACACAGUCCAUUAAGGAACCCAGCAAUCAUGUGAAAAUGUAUUAUUCCCUUCAACACAUUUUGACAGCACUUAGUCACCUUCAUUCUAUUCCUCAGUUGUAAUGGAAUACACUGUAGAUGAAUUCCUCUUGAUUUUAAAACGGCAAACUCUCCAAAGUCGCAUAUUCAAAUCAAUACUUUACACAGGGACGCAUACGGAAACUGUUGGUACAAACACACUCAGUGAUCGAUACCGCAGCCAGCCGCUGUGUUAAGGGUCUGCGGGUUUGAAGGUAACCUUGUUUAAGGAUUCGGCCGUGGAGCCGUGGAGCUGUGUUAUAGAUUUGAGUUAUUUGUUUCGCUACAUACUUGCUGUGAAGACCCGUUGACCCUUCUGUUCAGCCGCUGAUUAUCUUUUCACUGGCAGAGAAAAAAAAUAUAUGUUUCUCAUUACAAGCAUUGGAGAUUGAUUGCGGUCUUCCUGCUUCAGCGCGGUGUGUCUGAUUGGUCCUGCGUCGGAGAUAAUUGCAAAGCUCGUUGUCUGAGAAACUGGUUUCUCAGGCUGGCUGCCCACACCGCAGCCCUGUACUGUCAUCCGUCUCGGGGUCUUCAGGUCGAGGUUUAUUCCUCACUGCCCAUGCAAAUGUGCUCCUCUGAACACUUUCUACGUUCGGUUGAGCUAAGCGUUUAAAAAGUAGCAGUCAUUAUGAAAUGAAAGGUUGUACGGUGUUGCUCAUGAAAUUCAUAAUCUUCUGGCUGCUUCCAUGGCCAGAUCGACAACAACAGACUUUCAACCCGUUUUAUAUUUUAAUCUCUGUACUUAUUUAUUUUAUUACGCAGUAUCAUAAUAUACUCUUUCAGUUGUAGAAACAAACUCAGUGUUCUAUGGUUAAGCUUCGAGCAUAGCCUGCUCUAAUUUCACCUUAAUGAUGAACUGUAUCAGUUAUUGCAUGUCCAUCGGCCCGGCAUAGGGAUCAAUCUGUUGCACAGUCAGGUUUUUAUAAGGCUCUAAGGAUAAAGUGUGUUGUGUACUGGACAGAUUGUAAAAACAUAUUGACAAAUUUGUGAUUUGUCGUAUCGGACCACAUAAUUAAAUGGACACAACUUUGUUCAACAUCAGUGCACCCACAACAAAACAUCUGUUUGAAUCCUGACUUGUAGAGAAGCUUUGUAAAAAACGUCAUAGCUUCCUCACGUUUCAUUUUUUUCCGGUCCGUAGUCCAGAUGCUUCUUCUAAUUAAGAACUGUUUCAAAAGGCUCUCGACGCACAGCAGCCAAAAUGGGAUCCAUCAGCCAUGUGCCAUGUUAGACAUUCAGUGAGAAGCUCAGCACACAUAUGUUGGCAGAUUGGCCCAUUAACGGAAAACUUUAAGUUAUGUGUGACAAUGUGUUGGGAAUAAACAAGACAAAGGAAGCGGUGACGUGUGUCGGAUUGUAUUUGUUACACUGCAAAUGUGGGAUAGAUAAUGCUUUGGUGUAAUUUACCGUCCUUUCUCUAAAACUUUGAACCUUUUCAAAUCUAUGGAAAGAGCAUUAAAGGUCUUCUAACAACCAUAAUCACUCUUUAUUGUUGUUAGUACCACAGACCCAGAUGUGAUUGGGGUCAUUCUGAAGGUUAAAGGUCACUAAAUAAUUUCCAUGCUCCGCUGGUAUAACUGCAUCCUUUUCACACCAAAAGAGCAUAUCUAGUCAGGGAGAAAGUGUGGCUUUACCAUGCAACUUCAAAAGAAAAAGCACUUUCAAACAUGAUUGCAUGACUGCAAAACGAAAACCAAACAUCUGCCAAAAGCUUAUUCACUCAACUUGCGUUUUAUUCAUUUAAAAAAAUAUCCAACUAGGG